UGCGGAGUGGGGAAAUUGGUAUCCCGCUGGUCUCAUAAUCCAGAGGUUACGGGUUCAAGUCCCGUCUCCGCAA
Molecule: transfer RNA, 73 nt
Filed under: Enterococcus sp.
Lineage: Bacteria; Bacillati; Bacillota; Bacilli; Lactobacillales; Enterococcaceae
Description: tRNA-Met
Rfam family: tRNA
About the family: Transfer RNA (tRNA) molecules are approximately 80 nucleotides in length.
Source: RNAcentral